AGUACGGCGGAACACGUGAAAUUCCGUCGGAAUCCGGGAGGACCAUCUCCCAAGGCUAAAUACUCCCUAGUGACCGAUAGUGAACCAGUACCGUGAGGGAAAGGUGAAAAGCACCCCGGAAGGGGAGUGAAACAGUUCCUGAAACCGUGUGCCUACAAGUAGUUAGAGCCCGUUAAUGGGUGAUAGCGUGCCUUUUGUAGAAUGAACCGGCGAGUUACGAUUUGUUGCAAGGUUAAGCGGAAAAAGCGGAGCCGUAGCGAAAGCGAGUCUGAAUAGGGCGCAUAAGUAACAGGUCGUAGACCCGAAACCAGGUGAUCUACCCAUGUCCAGGAUGAAGGUAAGGUAAUACUUACUGGAGGUCCGAACCCACGCACGUUGAAAAGUGCGGGGAUGAGGUGUGGGUAGCGGAGAAAUUCCAAUCGAACUUGGAGAUAGCUGGUUCUCUCCGAAAUAGCUUUAGGGCUAGCCUCGAGGUAAAGAGUCAUGGAGGUAGAGCACUGUUUGGACUAGGGGCCCUUCUCGGGUUACCGAAUUCAGAUAAACUCCGAAUGCCAUGUACUUAUACUCGGGAGUCAGACUGCGAGUGAUAAGAUCCGUAGUCGAAAGGGAAACAGCCCAGACCACCAGUUAAGGUCCCCAAAUAUAUGUUAAGUGGAAAAGGAUGUGGGGUUGCUUAGACAACCAGGAUGUUGGCUUAGAAGCAGCCACCAUUGAAAGAGUGCGUAAUAGCUCACUGGUCGAGUGACCCCGCGCCGAAAAUGUACCGGGGCUAAACAUAUUACCGAAACUGUGGAUGAACCUCUUUAGAGGUUCGUGGUAGGAGAGCGUUCUAAGGGCGGUGAAGUCAGACCGGAAGGACUGGUGGAGCGCUUAGAAGUGAGAAUGCCGGUAUGAGUAGCGAAAGAAGGGUGAGAAUCCCUUCCACCGAAUAUCUAAGGUUUCCUGAGGAAGGCUCGUCCGCUCAGGGUUAGUCGGGACCUAAGCCGAGGCCGAUAGGCGUAGGCGAUGGACAACAGGUAGAGAUUCCUGUACCAGUGCUAAUUGUUUAACCGAUGGGGUGACACAGAAGGAUAGGGAAUCGCACGAAUGGAAAUGUGCGUCCAAGCAGUGAGUGUGAGAAGUAGGCAAAUCCGCUUCUCGCGAAGCAUGAGCUGUGAUGGGGAAGGAAAUUAAGUACGGAAGUUCCUGAUUUCACGCUGUCAAGAAAAGCCUCUAGGAAGAGUAGUACUGCCCGUACCGCAAACCGACACAGGUAGAUGAGGAGAGAAUCCUAAGGUGAGCGAGAGAACUCUCGUUAAGGAACUCGGCAAAAUGACCCCGUAACUUCGGGAGAAGGGGUGCUCUAUUAGGGUGCAAGCCCGAGAGAGCCGCAGUGAAUAGGCCCAGGCGACUGUUUAGCAAAAACACAGGUCUCUGCAAAACCGUAAGGUGACGUAUAGGGGCUGACGCCUGCCCGGUGCUGGAAGGUUAAGAGGAGUGCUUAGCUUCGGCGAAGGUACGAAUUGAAGCCCCAGUAAACGGCGGCCGUAACUAUAACGGUCCUAAGGUAGCGAAAUUCCUUGUCGGGUAAGUUCCGACCCGCACGAAAGGCGCAACGAUCUGGGCACUGUCUCAACGAGAGACUCGGUGAAAUUAUAGUACCUGUGAAGAUGCAGGUUACCCGCGACAGGACGGAAAGACCCCGUGGAGCUUUACUGCAACCUGAUAUGGAAUGUUUGUACCGCUUGUACAGGAUAGGUAGGAGCCGAAGAGACGUGUGCGCUAGCAUACGAGGAGGCAAUGGUGGGAUACUACCCUGGCUGUAUGACCAUUCUAACCCGCCACGCUUAGCGCGUGGGGAGACAGUGUCAGGUGGGCAGUUUGACUGGGGCGGUCGCCUCCUAAAGAGUAACGGAGGCGCCCAAAGGUUCCCUCAGAAUGGAUGGAAAUCAUUCGCAGAGUGUAAAGGCACAAGGGAGCUUGACUGCGAGACUGACAAGUCGAGCAGGGACGAAAGUCGGGCUUAGUGAUCCGGUGGUUCCGCAUGGAAGGGCCAUCGCUCAACGGAUAAAAGCUACCCCGGGGAUAACAGGCUUAUCUCCCCCAAGAGUCCACAUCGACGGGGAGGUUUGGCACCUCGAUGUCGGCUCGUCGCAUCCUGG
RNAcentral lists this ribosomal RNA (2141 nucleotides) under Listeria monocytogenes. RNAcentral describes it as "partial 23S ribosomal RNA". It matches the Rfam family "Bacterial large subunit ribosomal RNA", at positions 411 to 2550 of the family's 2925-position model. Lineage: Bacteria; Bacillati; Bacillota; Bacilli; Caryophanales; Listeriaceae. The record is from RNAcentral.